GAUCCUGGCUCAGGAUGAACGCUAGCGGCAGGCCUAACACAUGCAAGCCGAGGGGUAAGUCUCUUUCGGGAGAACACGACCGGCGCACGGGUGAGUAACGCGUAUGCAACCUACCUUUGGCACGGGGACAGCCCGGGGAAACCCGGAUUAAUACCCGGUAUAGUCUGUUAUACACCUGUAUAAAAGACGAGAGCUACGGCGGCCAAAGAUGGGCAUGCGUGCCAUUAGUUAGUUGGUAGGGUAACAGCCUACCAAGGCAUCGAUGGCUACGGGGUCUAAAAGGAUGAGCCCGCACACUGGUACUGAGACACGGACCAGACUCCUACGGGAGGCAGCAGUGAGGAAUAUUGGUCAAUGGGUGGAAGCCUGAACCAGCCAUGCCGCGUGCAGGAAGACGGCCUUAUGGGUUGUAAACUGCUUUUCUACGGGACGAACGGCUCUGACGUGUCAGAGAUUGACGGUACCGUAGGAAUAAGCAUCGGCUAACUCCGUGCCAGCAGCCGCGGUAAUACGGAGGAUGCGAGCGUUAUCCGGAUUUAUUAGGUUUAAAGGGUGCGUAGGCUGGGCAAUAAGUCAGUGGUGAAAGUCCGCGGCUCAACCGUGGGAUUGCCAUUGAAACUGUUGUACUUGAGUACAGUCGAGGUAGGCGGAAUGUGUAAUGUAGCGGUGAAAUGCAUAGAUAUUACCCAGAACACCGAUUGCGUAGGCAGCUUACCAGCCUGGAACUGACGCUGAUGCACGAAAGCGUGGGGAGCGAACAGGAUUAGAUACCCUGGUAGUCCACGCCGUAAACGAUGAUCACUCGCUGUUGGCAAUA
Molecule: ribosomal RNA, 817 nt
Filed under: uncultured organism
Description: bacterial SSU rRNA
Rfam family: Bacterial small subunit ribosomal RNA
Source: RNAcentral